ACAAGAAAAAUAAUAGACCGUGUAUCAUCAAAAUAUUGAAAAAUAAAUAAAUACCCCAACACGUAAUUUAUAACAGUAAGACUAUGAAUGGAGGUAGCGGACAAAGCGGUUUAAUUUGUCUGCGAUUUAGUCCAUCUCAUUUUUGAGGCGAACAAUAAACCGCUGCGGACCAAGUUUAUUUGUAUGUAAAAACGGUCCGUAGAUGAUCCGCUGCGGUUUUCUUCUAUUUUUUUUGGUCAUUGAUGAAUUGUAAAUAAAAAUAGUCUGAUUCGUUGACGGUUUUGUCCGUCCCAACCGCCAUAACCAUUCAAACCCUAAAUCGAAUUCACAAGUCAUAACAACUAAUUCUCCCUAAAUAUAAGCAUAUCCUAACACAAACUAAAGAAAUACCU
Molecule: small RNA, 392 nt
Filed under: Arabidopsis thaliana (thale cress)
Lineage: Eukaryota; Viridiplantae; Streptophyta; Magnoliopsida; Brassicales; Brassicaceae
Description: ATSL023080
Source: RNAcentral